RNAcentral lists this ribosomal RNA (544 nucleotides) under Salmonella enterica subsp. enterica serovar Give. RNAcentral describes it as "bacterial SSU rRNA". It matches the Rfam family "Bacterial small subunit ribosomal RNA", at positions 291 to 832 of the family's 1533-position model. Lineage: Bacteria; Pseudomonadati; Pseudomonadota; Gammaproteobacteria; Enterobacterales; Enterobacteriaceae. The record is from RNAcentral.
UCUGAGAGGAAGGUCCCCCACAUUGGAACUGAGACACGGUCCAAACUCCUACGGGAGGCAGCAGUGAGGAAUAUUGGUCAAUGGGCGAGAGCCUGAACCAGCCAAGUAGCGUGCAGGAUGACGGCCCUAUGGGUUGUAAACUGCUUUUAUAAGGGAAUAAAGUGAGUCUCGUGAGACUUUUUGCAUGUACCUUAUGAAUAAGGACCGGCUAAUUCCGUGCCAGCAGCCGCGGUAAUACGGAAGGUCCGGGCGUUAUCCGGAUUUAUUGGGUUUAAAGGGAGCGUAGGCCGGAGAUUAAGCGUGUUGUGAAAUGUAGAUGCUCAACAUCUGCACUGCAGCGCGAACUGGUUUCCUUGAGUACGCACAAAGUGGGCGGAAUUCGUGGUGUAGCGGUGAAAUGCUUAGAUAUCACGAAGAACUCCGAUUGCGAAGGCAGCUCACUGGAGCGCAACUGACGCUGAAGCUCGAAAGUGCGGGUAUCGAACAGGAUUAGAUACCCUGGUAGUCCGCACGGUAAACGAUGGAUGCCCGCUGUUGGUCUGAA